GACGAACGCUGGCGGCAUGCCUAACACAUGCAAGUCGAACGAGACGUUCGGGUCUUUUGGCGCACGGCUGCGUAACGCGUGGGAACCUGCCCUUGGGUUCGGCAUACCUCAGAGAAAUUUAAGCUAAUGCCAGAUGAGGUCUUCUGACCAAAGAUUUAUUGCCUUUCGAUGGGCCCUCGUGGGAUUCGCUUGUUGUAGGGGUAAUGGCCUGCUAAGGCGGCGAUCCAUAGCUGGUCUGGGAGCAUGAUCAGCCACACUGAGACAGGGACACGGCCCAGACUGCUAGGAGAGGCAGCAGGGGGGAAUAAGGGACAGGGGGCGAGAGACUGAGCCAGCAAGGCCGCGAGAGUGGUGAAGGCGUUAGGAAUGUAUAGCUCAUUUACCCGAGAUGAUAAGAAGGGAAUCGGUAGAAAAGGCACGGCCAAACUCCUU
RNAcentral lists this ribosomal RNA (432 nucleotides) under uncultured bacterium. Its description in RNAcentral is "partial 16S ribosomal RNA". It matches the Rfam family "Bacterial small subunit ribosomal RNA", at positions 28 to 506 of the family's 1533-position model. The record is from RNAcentral.